RNAcentral lists this long non-coding RNA (3470 nucleotides) under Phoenix dactylifera (date palm). RNAcentral's name for it is "long non-coding RNA (PDAC_LNC004092)". Lineage: Eukaryota; Viridiplantae; Streptophyta; Magnoliopsida; Arecales; Arecaceae. The record is from RNAcentral.
ACCCCCUAACUAGGACUGCAAGUGGGUCGGAUCGAUUCAUGACCCAACCCAACCCCACUUAGACCCAACCAGAUCCAAAUUUUAGAACCCGCGGCGCCGGAUCAAAUUCUAAAUUUGAGCCUGUUCUAUUUUUCGGGUCGGAUCUGGGUCAACCCAAUCUCAACCCGACCCGAACCUUUUUUUGGAGGUCAAUUUAGAUCUUUUACCCAAAGACCCAAUCUAACCCGACGCAAAUCCGAAUUACCCAUUUAGACCCAAACACCCCUCAUGCCCCCCUCGGUCCACCCCAUCCAUUGCCUCCUCUCCCGAGUGAUGAUGUACUCUCUCCUUCACCAAACCCUAAACUAUCUCCAGAUAUCUCUCGAAUUCUCGACUCUGAGAGGCAACAGCGGUCAUCAGAUCCAAGAUUGUUGCUGCUCUCCUCAUGGUUGUGCUCGUCGUCAUCUUCCUCGCCGGCAGAGCCAUUGCGGCGGACACUCCUGCCCCGAGCAGCACCUCCACCGCUGGUCCCGUCGCUCUUUCCCUCGCCAUCGCUGUCGUCGCCUCAUCCAUUGCGCUUCUCCUCGAAUCUUUCCGCCACUGAGAUCUCCACUGAUGCUGGGUCAGAUCCGUAAAUCUCUGCAGCUCGGCAGCUUUUCCGAUUUGAGUUUUGUGAUAGACGGUGCCUUUCUUAGUCUAGAUACUUCAUAUAUGUGGUUAUUUAGAGAUUUUGGUUGGUUUUUUCUCCCAGCAUUGUUCGAGUCACAUCUCCCUAGACGUCUUUUGUGGUUCUUUGUGGUUAGAUCUGAACCUUAAGGUAAUAAGGGAUGUAAUAAGGAUGCAUGCGUCUAGGAUUCGUUCUCUCUGAGAGAUUUUGUAGAUUUGUUACUUCUACUACAUGGAUCUACAUUAUUUGGUGUUCUUUUUGUCCACCUUAGCUUUGAUUCUUGAUGGAUUUGGUAUUUGUAACGAAUGAUCCGGUACUUUAAUGCUGCAUUAUUGAUAUGCAUAAUCCGGAUCCGACCCAGAUCCAAAUUUUGAGUCGGAUCUGGAUUAUACAUGGAUUCAAUCCAAUCCGAAUAACCUCUUGAGUCAAAAAUUGUAGCUCUGGAUCCCGCCUGGUCUUCAAUUGAGUCAAAUCUGGAUUAGAAUCCGAACAAAAAGCCAGAUUGAAUUGGGGUCACUCAAGACUCGACCCAUUUGCAUCCCUACCCUCAAACUGAAACUGUUCCGUAUAUCCUCCGGAAUGAGAGCUCAGCCACCUGAGCCCCCUUUCUACCAGCCUGAAUGCCUUUGCGACACCUUCAACAAAAUGGCAGAUGACCAAGUGGUACUGUAAGUAACCAAAAAAAAUGCUCACACCUUCAAUGAGCCUGGAUUGUCCAAAUGCACAUGUUACCAAGACUCACUAAUCAAGAAAAAAGCUGCUGCAGCCCUUCAUCAGUACACUAGAAACUACAUUCCGACAAGGUGCCAAAGAGAGAUGAGAGCCCUUAAAAUAGUUCCUCAUAAGUUUUGAUACUCGUUCAUAACACAAUUUUGACACUUAUCCUUGCACCACCGGACACUAAAAGAGGACACCACAUCAAACUUAUUGAGAUGCUUUAAUACCAGUUCAGGAUAUCUAAAUAUAACUCGCUACUUAAUAUUAUUUUCCUUCUCACUCCUCAAGUGCUUUUAGCUUCCGAUAACCUUUAUCAGUGCCAAAUAACCUGAUAGUGGUGAAAAGUUCGAUUGGUUAGAAGAUCGUUCUACAAGUCAUACAACAACAAUAUUGAUAUAUGGCAGUUUUGAAAAGCAUAUCUGAGAUGCUAACUUCUGAAGUCCAAAUGCAAUGGAUUAGUCUUGGGAAACAAAAACAACCAGAGGGAAAGACGUUGGUUUUCAUAAAACAUGCCCAUGGUCUCAGAACCAUGUUCUCUCAAUAUACAAAUUGUACAAGCAAGAUUUGUGACUUACACUCUAUUAAAGGUGACUGAUUUAAUUAGCCAAAUAAACUAAACCAGCAAAUUUUUGCAUGUCAAUUAGGAAUGCCAUGUUCUUUUUGUCUCUAGCAUCCGGAAAGAAUAUAUUAAUAGAUGAACCUACGAAGGUGGCACAAAGAUAUACAUAAAGAAAAGAAAGUUCAUGUUUAUAGAUUGUUCUAGCGUGCCACCUGCAAAGGUGGCACAAAGAUAUAUAAUUAUUUAAUCAGCCAAAUCCAUGAAAAACCAACUGGCAAAUUUUUGCAUGUGCCAAUUAGGAAUGCCAUGUUUUUUUACCCUGAAAUCUGGAAAGAAUAUAUUCCAACAGAUGAACCUGCAAAGGUGGAACCUAGAUAUUCAUGAAGAAGAGAAAUUUAUGUUUUUAGAAUGUUCUAGUGCUCUCAAUUGAAUUAAUUUGCUUUCUGAAAACAAUUUUGUUAAAGCUAGAUUCUGGUGCCUUUUCAUUUUCCUGCUGGGAUCUAGCAGUCACAAAAAACCAUAACCAUCAGAUCUUGUCCUAACUAUUUUGGCAGGAUUGGCGACUUUAAAACUCUCUUGAAUUACACCAGAAGUGGUGACCACAAGGCUGCAUCCUUGAAGAGAAAUAAGGCAUGGGACAUGCACCAAACCAAAGGCCAACGUAGGAACCAAUCAUGAUGCAAUUUGAUGACCAAGGAAUCUGUUAACUCUAUCACCAAGGAUAUAGCAAGGUGUACUUCUAGAGAAUGUUGCAUGUGAAGUUUCGCUGAUCCAAUUGUCUGUGUAUUAUGUCCAUUGUUUGUUAGCCUCUGUUGUUGUUUACAAAUAACUAUAUGUACCAUAUAAUGAGAUUUUAAGUGUACAUGUUGAUUGAUAGUGAUUGAAGGCAGGUCCUAUUGUCAUUUAAUUAGCCUCUAAAAAUAUGAAAAUUAGAUGGUGCAACAGCUGUCAUGACUAUGACAAUGCAAAUUGCUAUCUAACUGAUUCAUAGUAUACAUGCACAACAAUAUACACUCACCAGUCCAUGUAGAUGAAAGUUGAUGAGUAAUUUCCAGACUUGGUGUAGAGCACACGAUGAUGGUAGUCAUGAAAUUCCGCACUAUAACAUCAACCAACCAGGUGUCAGGAGAUGAACACCACAACUCAGAAAGGCUUCAACUGGGAGAUCAAAACGGAAAAGGUUGUAACUCACCCUCCAUAUAAUGGCAAGAAUUUGGCAGGGCUCCAUGGGAAGUGGUAUCCACUAUGAGCCUCAACUGUCUCCAGGACUCUCAAUAUCACCCAUAACCACAGAGUGAGCAUAUGCGGACCAGUGAGAGCAGGACCAAUAAUGGUUGCAAAGCCAAGAAAUAAUAUUUCAGCAGGAUGGGCAUAUUCAGAAGUUAAUCCAAAUGGAGUAGCAUAUCUGCAUAAUACGUACAUAUAAGGAGAGUAGUAAUGAACGAACAAACUGUAGAAGUAAUGCUACGUACUCAUGAUGAAUACUGUGGACAUGCUUGUAUAGCCAUUUUGUGUGCAGCACUCUAUGUCCCCAGUAGAACACAAAGU